UGGGGAAUAUUGGACAAUGGGGGCAACCCUGAUCCAGCAAUGCCGCGUGGGUGAAGAAGGUCUUCGGAUUGUAAAGCCCUUUCGGCGGGGACGAUGAUGACGGUACCCGCAGAAGAAGGCCCGGCUAACUUCGUGCCAGCAGCCGCGGUAAUACGAAGGGGGCUAGCGUUGCUCGGAAUGACUGGGCGUAAAGGGCGCGUAGGCGGUUGUGACAGUCAGGCGUGAAAUUCCCGGGCUUAACCUGGGGCUGCGCUUGAUACGUCAUGACUUGAGUGUGGAAGAGGGUCGUGGAAUUCCCAGUGUAGAGGUGAAAUUCGUAGAUAUUGGGAAGAGCACCGGUGGCGAAGGCGGCGACCUGGUCAUUACUGACGCUGAGGCGCGAAAGGCGUGGGGAAGCAAGCGGGAUUAAGAUGAUCCUCGGGUAGUCCACGCUGUAAACGAUGUGCGCUGGAUGCUGGGUGGCCUAGCCACUCAGUGUCGUAGCUAACGCGGUAAGCGCACCGCCUGGGGAGUACGGCCGCAAGGUUGAAACUCAAAUGAAUUGACGGGGUCAUAGCUGUUUCCU
RNAcentral lists this ribosomal RNA (565 nucleotides) under uncultured bacterium. Its description in RNAcentral is "partial 16S ribosomal RNA". It matches the Rfam family "Bacterial small subunit ribosomal RNA", at positions 355 to 1375 of the family's 1533-position model. The record is from RNAcentral.